This is a long non-coding RNA of Siniperca chuatsi (mandarin fish), 4473 nucleotides long. RefSeq lists it as uncharacterized. The transcript is spliced from 3 exons. NCBI's taxonomy places the organism in Eukaryota, Metazoa, Chordata, Actinopteri, Centrarchiformes, Sinipercidae. The record is from RefSeq and is a predicted model, not a curated record.
AAUAGUGGCAGAUUAGUUUUCUGUUGCUCAGCUAAUCGAUUAAUCCACUAAUUGUUUCCUCUCUAGAAUAUAAAAAUCGCAGUUCUUGUGCUAUUUGCAGUAAGUAAUGAUAGCACUGCACUUUUGGCCUUAAAACAGGUUUAUUAUCUCUAAUGUGGGGAUAUCUCUGAAACUACUAAUUAAAUAAAACGUUGUUUAUGUUCACUGGGUUUGGUACUUGUUACUAUGAUUUACCCUAUGCUAUGAAUUUGGGUCAUAACGCUUAAAAAUGUGUUCACUGACAUGAGUUUAGGUUUACCUCACCACUCACGACUACAAAAUUCACGUGCUCCCUCUUCUCCCUCUUUGUUCUGCAGGAACCCACCAGACCGCCUGUUGUUGUUUUUUUUAGCAGUUUAUGAAUGAAUAUAAACCCCCUUUUAGAUGUGAUGAUUGCUGUCGCCCUGCAGCCCAGCUGGACGGAAUGGGAGCGGCUCGAUGAAGACGUGAUUACACGGCAGUGAUAGCCUACUAACGAUGGAGGGAUUCACUGGUUGACGCAACUGCCUCUCGCCACCACUAUCUCCAGCAGACACACCCCACCGGCAGUCAGACACUCAGGAGACGGGAGCUGGACCAGAGGAGGACAGUGGUGACACACGCCAACAAGAGAUGGUAGUGAUGCCUUCAAGUGCUGCUCGAACUGUGAGGCUGGCCGGGGGAAAUACUGUUCACAGAAAAGUGCCUCAAGCCUCUGGAUCAUCACCCCGUGAAGGAAGAUGUAGUCAGGCCACUACAUCAGUCGAUUGGUGACCUGCAUCCAGUGUGAAGUUCCGCAUCCUGAGAAAUCUUGGAUUACAAACUAUGGUUAACUGAGGAUCUUAUGUCAAGAUUAGUGUGAAGUUGAAGCUUAUUGCCACCACGACAGGGCUGAUAAGAAUCCAGGCAGUCUGCCAUAUUGUUGUGUUCUGCAUCAACAUAAAUCAAAGGAGGGUUAGAGGGUUUGCAGGGAUGGUGUGACAGAUAAACGCAACCAAACAUAUGUUACCCACUUUUAUAUAAAGAAAUGCAGUUUUACCCAAACACCUUUUCAAGUUUACAUGAAUCUUAAUAAGUCAAUAUUAGAUAUCCAGACAGGUGACAAAUUAAAGGAAAAACCUGAAUAAAAGGGAGGAGAACAUAUCAGAUUCAGAUGCUUCCAUACAGGGCAUGAGGGCUCACUGAAAGGUUAGAUGAGUAUGAAAAUGAUGUGAAUCAUAUGCUAUGGCCUGCACAGUCACCUGAUCUCAACUCACCUGAACACCUAUGGCGGAUUUUGUUGUGUUAGACAGUGCUCUCUACCAUAAUUAUCAAAACACCAAAUGAGGGAGAAUGGUGUUCAUCCCUCCAGUUGAGUUUCACAGACUUCUGUGCCAAGAAGCAUUGAAGCUGUUCUGGAGGCUAAUGGUAGCCCAUGUUGUGACCAAUUUGUAGUAUAUAAUGUCAAGUAAACAUAAUGUUUUGAAGAGAAAUGAAAGGAUGAAUUCAUGCUAUUCUAGAAGAGUAUUUUUUGGGGAGGCUUUUCCUGAGGAACGUCAACAACAGCAGUUCACAGUUUAAAACAGUUUAAUUUACAAAUCAAUAUCUGACUAUACAUGUUUAAACUGGCAUAGCUUGCAUAAUUUCCAUACUACAUACAAUAGUGUGAACACCACAAUUUCGCAUUCUGCAGAAUAAUGAACUCUGUCUCAUAUCAGGAAUAUUCAUUUGGCAAAUUCCCUUCAGACCAAGCCUGAUCUCAACAUUACUGUAAUGUAUUAUGGACAAUAGUGUUCAUUAUCCCAUAAACGCACAAUUACCCAUUUAGUUAUUUUACUUUUUCUGUUGAAAAAAGGCUUCUCAUGCACUUUCAGGCCCUUUGUGCCUCUGUAUGUGUGUGCAUGUGUGUGUGUGUGUGUGUGUGUGUGUGUGUGUGUGUGUGUGUGUGUGUGUAACCUUGACAGAGAAAGCUAAGCUUCACUGAGUGCCUGCAAGCACUGUGCUAUCUUUAGCUUUUGUUGAAGCUUUUACCAUAGGCCUCCUCCUACUCUUCCCACUCUUCCUCCUCUUCCUCCAUUCCCCUCAGCCCACUCACUGUUGGCUGCACAUGCAAACAUGCACACUUAUGCAUGCUUGCACACAACCAAAUCUCCUACACACACGCUACUGUAACAUACAUAUGCACACUGUAUAACUGUUACUGGGCAGAUUAGAUGAAGUAACCUACUUCUAGGAUAAAAACAUGAGCCCGAUGCUUGUUUUUUGCUGCAGAGCGAAAGACUGACUCUUGUUCCCUGAGCGGCCCUGAUUCCUGCCUGAAGGCAAGUUAUAAGCCACGGGCCUCACAGGAUACACUCUUGUAUUCUUAUUGGCCAAGAAAUGUAUUAAAUUCAGUCAGUAGUACACUCACAGACUAUAAACUAUUAAUAAAUAAUUUGCCCCAAACCAAACUCUCCAUAGACCAAUUAUUAUUUGUUUUUAAUGGCCCAGUGCCUCUGCUUCUUACAGUAGUCUAUAUUUAUGUUGCAUAUUACGCACAUGGGCUAUUGUUAGUAAUUAUGUGAAAUGCAUUACUAGUUAUCUGAUUGUUGAUACAUAUUUCAGCUUUUAAUUAGCCAUUCACAUGCUGCUGCGGAGCAUGUGGAUUUUGUACUAUUACUGCCCAAUGUUUUGAAUAUUUUCCGAGAAAGCACUUCUGAUUUUACAGUAAUUGUGGCAAAAACAAACGCAGCUCCUGGUAGGGGAUCAAAUACAACAGUAUAAUCAAAUUUUUCUAAUCAAACAAUCCCAAAAUAGCUUGGUCAGUCAACUCAGUUAAUCAUGUUAAAUGCUGCCAUACUGAGGCUAAAGUGAGGACAGAGAAACAUCAGCUUCAGGUUACGUGGCCAAACUAAUCUAAUCAAUUCAAUUCAAUUUUAUUUAUAUAGCGCCAAUUCAUAACAGAAGUUACUUCAGUGCACUUUUCCUAUAGAGCAGGUCUAGACCGUACUCUUUAUAAUAUUAUUUACCAAUCAGAUUGGUUUGUACUGAAGGGUCAGUCCCCAUGUGGAUUUGGUGUUUGUAAACAUGCACAACCUCUUUCUCAUGGUACAUUUAUAUUUGUUAGAAACUAUUUUGGAAAACUGUAACUGAGAAGAGGUCAGGUUACGACUGCAUGAACUGCACAGACUGUUAAAUUCCAACUUUCAUUUUUCUCACUUACAUGAUUGAAAAUAGUUUUUUGCUUUGUCAUGAUGCUUCUUUCAAGCCCAGGUACAGAAGUCAGAAGAUGAACAAAAUAAUAAGAACACCCUACAACAUAAUAAAUAAAUAUAAUAAUAAUAAAUCUUACCUUUAAAUCUUAUACUGAUAUUUUCAGUGGCUUCCCUCCUUUAUACAAUGGAUCAAGGCGGUUAUGACAUGUCUUCACUAUAUUAGAUAUAGAUAUGAUAAGCCUUUAUUGAUUCCCAGAGGGGACAUUCUGGUGUUGCAGCAGCACAAGGACAGAAAUAAGUAGAUAAAUACAUAAAUAAAAAAUUCUAAGUAUAGAAAAUAAGAAUAUAAAUAAAAUAGAAACUAUACAAGAGCAAUUUAACACAAAAUUACAAAGCAAGCAGUGUACAUACGGUACCCAGGACCAGUGUUGUACUUAAACUAAUGCAAUGCAGUCUCAAUCGAAGUGACAUAAUGGUGUAGAAUUGUACAGUUCUGUGGGUUUAAAUAAAGUUUGGCUACACAGCGUGUCCCACUGUGGGUCAGUGAUGUUUAAAUAAAGCUGGAAACAGAGAUAAGUUAUAUAUAAUAAUAUAAAAAGAAAAGAAAAUACUGAAAAUAGGGAGAUUUGUAGGACGACUUUAGGAGCAACCUGAGAUUCUGAGAUAUUUUGUCCUGGAUGUGAAUAAAUGGAAGGUAAUAAGUUUAAUAUUCAAACCUCUCUGUAUCAGUCAUCAUACUGUUCAUCUACUUGUCAUCAGCUGAUCAAGCACAUCUCUCCUCCCAGCGUGUGAAAAUUACCUGGUAACUAUUCAUGCAUUCUUAAUAUCCAUUCAAUCAUGUCAGUGUGAGAUUGUCUAAUAAUAGUCAUUUUACACUGCAGAAUGAGAGUUAUUGGUGUCAGCGUGCACCUGUAAUUGUAUCCUCCCCCUCUCUUCCUCUCUCUUCCUCUCUCUGUUUCUGCAUUGCAGUGCCUGAAGCUGUCAAGAGAGCAUAUGCACCGUGUAUCAUUGCUGGCCUCUGCCUGUCAUCUCUGCCCCUGUGCACAGACCACCAGGCAACACAUCGAGUAAUACGAUACACACUUCCUCUGUCCUCCCGCUUCACCUUCUGAGCUGUUGUCCCAUGACACAUGCUGAGCUGUGAGCUUUACACUGCAGCUGACAGUGAUGAGAAAGUAUUGCUUUUGCCCUUUGCUGCUUCUUCGCUUCUAGGAACAGAACAUUUUUAUGUGACACUGAUCACGAGGUUCUCGAUGUUUAAAUAAAUGGUAAAAAGAUCAGA